UACGUAGGGGGCAAGCGUUGUCCGGAUUUAUUGGGCGUAAAGCGCACGCAGGCGGUCUUGUAAGUUUGGAGUGACAGGUGGUGGCUUAACUGCCACAGGCCGUGGAAAACUGCAAGACUUGAGGACUUCAGAGGGAUGCGGAAUUCCAGGUGGAGCGGUGAAAUGCGUAGAGCUCGGGAAGAACAUCGGUGGCGAAAGCGCUCUGCUGGACUGCAACUGACACACAGGGACGAAAGCUAGGGGAGCAAAUGGG
This 253-nucleotide ribosomal RNA is filed under the name uncultured bacterium. RNAcentral's name for it is "partial 16S ribosomal RNA". It matches the Rfam family "Bacterial small subunit ribosomal RNA", at positions 524 to 776 of the family's 1533-position model. The record is from RNAcentral.